Molecule: ribosomal RNA, 468 nt
Filed under: uncultured bacterium
Lineage: Bacteria
Description: partial 16S ribosomal RNA
Rfam family: Bacterial small subunit ribosomal RNA
Source: RNAcentral
GACGAACGCUGGCGGCGUGCUUAACACAUGCAAGUCGAACGGAAAGGCCCUGCUUUUGUGGGGUGCUCGAGUGGCGAACGGGUGAGUAACACGUGAGUAACCUGCCCUUGACUUUGGGAUAACUUCAGGAAACUGGGGCUAAUACCGGAUAGGAGCUCCUGCUGCAUGGUGGGGGUUGGAAAGUUUCGGCGGUUGGGGAUGGACUCGCGGCUUAUCAGAUUGUUGGUGGGGUAGUGGCUUACCAAGGCUUUGACGGGUAGCCGGCCUGAGAGGGUGACCGGCCCCAUUGGGACUGAGAUACGGCACAGACUCCUACGGGAGGCAGCAGUGGGGAAUAUUGCACAAUGGGCGGAAGCCUGAUGCAGCAACGCCGCGUGCGGGAUGACGGCCUUCGGGUUGUAAACCGCUUUCGCCUGUGACGAAGCGUGAGUGACGGUAAUGGGUAAAGAAGCACCGGCUAACUACGUG